RNAcentral lists this transfer RNA (73 nucleotides) under Brevinema andersonii. It matches the Rfam family "tRNA". From Rfam's summary of the family: Transfer RNA (tRNA) molecules are approximately 80 nucleotides in length. Their secondary structure includes four short double-helical elements and three loops (D, anti-codon, and T loops). Lineage: Bacteria; Pseudomonadati; Spirochaetota; Spirochaetia; Brevinematales; Brevinemataceae. The record is from Rfam by way of RNAcentral.
GGCGGGAUAGCUCAGUAGGUAGAGCAGGAGAAUCAUAAUCUCUUGGUCGGGGGUUCAAAUCCCUCUCCCGUCA